AUGGAGGGAGAGAUAGCUGAGGACUUUCUUGCUUGCAAUGAUAGGAGUGAUCUUAAGAAACCACUAUGCAAACUGAAAGAAAAAUCUUUGAAUGCUAGAAUGAAAUGUGAUCCUAUGUUUGCUACUUCACCUAUCUUUGUUGCCGAUAAGGAUUAUGAAUUCUCUGUCGACCUAGAGCUAAUUACUUUGGUAGAAUCGGAUCCUUUCCAUGGCUAUGAAACUGAAACUGUAGUGACACAUCCUACUAAAUUGAAUGACAUAGCCACCCUUUUUGCUCAUGAUGAGAAAAUUCGCUACUAUUAUAUCUUUAAAUUA
This 315-nucleotide ribosomal RNA is filed under the name Triticum aestivum (bread wheat). RNAcentral's name for it is "partial small subunit ribosomal RNA". Lineage: Eukaryota; Viridiplantae; Streptophyta; Magnoliopsida; Poales; Poaceae. The record is from RNAcentral.